This 73-nucleotide transfer RNA is filed under the name Camelus bactrianus (Bactrian camel). It matches the Rfam family "tRNA". Rfam says of the family: Transfer RNA (tRNA) molecules are approximately 80 nucleotides in length. Their secondary structure includes four short double-helical elements and three loops (D, anti-codon, and T loops). Further hydrogen bonds mediate the characteristic L-shaped molecular structure. tRNAs have two regions of fundamental functional importance: the anti-codon, which is responsible for specific mRNA codon recognition, and the 3' end, to which the tRNAs corresponding amino acid is attached (by aminoacyl-tRNA synthetases). tRNAs cope with the degeneracy of the genetic code in two manners: having more than one tRNA (with a specific anti-codon) for a particular amino acid; and 'wobble' base-pairing, i.e. permitting non-standard base-pairing at the 3rd anti-codon position. Lineage: Eukaryota; Metazoa; Chordata; Mammalia; Artiodactyla; Camelidae. RNAcentral also lists the same sequence under 2 other names. The record is from Rfam by way of RNAcentral.
GAGGGUGUAGCUCUGUGGCAGAGCGCUUGCUUAGCAUGCACGAGGUCCUGGGUUCAAUUCCCCAGCACUGCCA